This 684-nucleotide long non-coding RNA is filed under the name Struthio camelus australis. RNAcentral's name for it is "lncRNA (ENSSCUG00000012692.1)". Lineage: Eukaryota; Metazoa; Chordata; Aves; Struthioniformes; Struthionidae. The record is from RNAcentral.
AGAAAGGGAAGGUAGUGCAAAGAGAGGAGGAAUAAAUACUUACAUAGUGCAUUGUUUUUCUUGCAGAUGCUAUUGGAGUGAUAGUCACCCUAGUACAGCGGACCAGCAUGUACCGACAAAGUUCCAGUCCCAUCUCGGACCAAUGAAAGCUUGAGCAGCACUGGAAUGAUUAGGCCACAGAUUAGCUUCCGGGUGAAGACUUCGAUCUCUCCUUUCACGAAUGAGAGAGCUACCCAGUGCUGCCAAGGGAGAGGCCCCCCUGUUACUGCAGACCUGUUAAACCCAGGGAUAGUCCUGUUCCUCCUGCUGUGAACUUUUCAGUAUGCUGAUGGAGCAGACCUAGUUUGGUCUUCUACUGCAGUUGACAUAGCUGAUGCUUUGAGACUGUUUAAGCUGUCUUCUGCUUUACUCAGCUUUCAUAAGCCUGUCUGGUUCUAACUUAGCAAAGAAAGGAAUCCAGACGCAAAGCUAUUAACAAAUCUUCCAUUUUAAAUUUGAGAGAGGCUUGAACAGGUAAGUUCUCAUUCAGAUUUCAAAUCUUGCAUUAGGACUGUUCCUUAGUGUUCCAGUCCUGCAUAAAACACAAUAUCAGCAAGGAGUGCGUUUUCUAGCAUUUCAUGUUCAGGCAACAUUUCAUGUGUCUUCUCUUAAAAUCUUUUAACAUCCGUUUCUGCUAUGAUCUCU